RNAcentral lists this long non-coding RNA (374 nucleotides) under Populus trichocarpa (black cottonwood). Its description in RNAcentral is "long non-coding RNA (PTRI_LNC002694)". The record is from RNAcentral. Lineage: Eukaryota; Viridiplantae; Streptophyta; Magnoliopsida; Malpighiales; Salicaceae.
AUUCAUUGCUAUUUUCUAAGCUAUGAAAUGCUUCUUCUUCUUCUGGGAAACACAUAAAUUGCUCAACCCUUCAAGUACACAGUCACCUGUUCUUGUUAAUAAUAGCAAUAAUAAUCUAUCAGUGCAUGCGAAGGGGGGUCCCAUUAGUAUUAAGUUUAUAAGCCAGCAAGGAAUAAUAGCGGGGUAGAUGUCCCCGAGAACAGCUGCCAUCAGACGAGCUGCCAAGGAAGUUCUAAUUAGAGCAUGAACUGUAUCUGUUAGCACAAAGACUUGCUGCAAAACUGUCAAUUUUGGAAAUUAGUACUGCCGUGUUUCCAACGCUCACUCUUGUGUGGAAAUAUUUGCAAGCGAAUCUUCAGUUCCAUAUUCAGCAC